Long non-coding RNA from Ictalurus punctatus (channel catfish), 5532 nucleotides. RefSeq lists it as uncharacterized. Lineage: Eukaryota; Metazoa; Chordata; Actinopteri; Siluriformes; Ictaluridae. The transcript is spliced from 3 exons. The record is from RefSeq and is a predicted model, not a curated record.
GCAUGUUUACUCAUUACGUUACUUCUGUUCAGAAAACAUGCUUCGGAGAGUAAAUACUAAAGUUGUGUCACAAAUAAAGUACUGUACAAUUACAAUAUGCACUCUGCACUACCGUCUAGUGUGUGGAUUUUAGAAAGGUAAUAUCAUCUCAAAUAUAACACUAGUGUUUUGUUUUUUGUUUUUUUUUACUAACUGGGAGUAUAAGCCACAAUGGUUACUUUCUGUCAGUGUUACCUUUUAUUCCCAACAUGACCUCAGUCCUCAUCAGACGGAGGCAAAAUCGUCAGGUGACUGAGGAAGAAAGUGUGUAACCUCCAAGUCCUCUGAGGCAGGGGGGCAUUUUAAACAUCGUGGAAAUCAAACUGAUGCAUGAUGACAAAGUUAUGUUUAUAUCCAAAAUGCUCCACUGUGUGCAAGGGGCAGGGGAAACUGGUGCAAGCUGCUUAAAUGGUUUAGUUUAAUUUAAGUUUAUUGUCAUUAUAUGUUGUAUUUGUGCGCUUGCAGUGUAAAUUCUGUCGUUUUUUUAUUACAGAAGUGAUCUAUUAGUAACGAGGCCGCGUUGCUGAUCAUGCGCUGUGUAGACGUGCUAAUACAGAGUAGGAGUGCGGGUAAGAUCUGUAAUGUCUAAUUAAAACACUGAAAGGAAAUUCUCUUAUAUCAUGUACUCUCUUAUAUUAUGAACUGCUAUCAAAUACCUAUGAUGAAUGUAUACAUUUAAUUACCUCUUUAAAUAAGCUGAUCAACUGCCAUCUUUCUUAUAGCUGGCACAUGUAUUUUCUGUCUAUUGAAAAGACUUAUUUUCAUAGUGUGCUGUGUGUUUUGUUUUGUCUAUUUGUCUGGCCCCUGCAUCAGUAGAAAUCGUCCACGCACUGCUUCUUAUCAAUGUGUAUAAAUACUCUUGGUUUGCAUGAAUAAACUCGGAUGUCUAUUUGAGCAUGCAUGUGUUAGUGUGUGUUCAUUUAGGCGCCCCAGUUCAAUCUGAAACGCUCUGAGGAGAACCAUACUUUCUAAGCACAGAACUAAAAGUUAAUAGAAGUAAUUGUAGAACAGGCUGGAAGGCAUGACGGAAGAUCUGAAAGGCAUAAUCUGAGAUACAUGGAAAUCCAACAAUUUGGUGUCAGAAGUGUGAGUACUCCGAAUCAGGCCUAUAUAACGGUGGGGAAGAGUCAUCAAAUAAUUGAAAUGUUAACUCGAACUGGAGGACAGGCUCUGGGUUACUGAUCAGAAGGUCAGGGGUUCAAGCCCCAGCACUUCCAAGCUGCCACUUGGGCCCUUGUGCAAGGCCCUUAACCCUCCCUGCUCCAGGGGUGCUGUAUCAUGGCAGACCCUGCACUCUGACCCAAGCUUCCUCACAGGCUGGGGUAUGCAAAGAAAACAAUUUCACUGUGCUAUAUAUAUAUAUAUAUUUAUUUAUUUAAGUUGCCAUUGGUUUGUGAAGGUUAAACUAUUAAUUUAACAGCUCAGUGUUGAGUUUACAAUAGCAAUUUCAAAUCUUUUUUUAAUUUACUUACUUUCCGGGCUCGGUCGGACUCGACUUGGCCAUUAAGGACUCGGACUCGAAUGGUUAAGGACUUGGUCUCGACUCAAACUUGACAAAGGUGGACUCGGACCCAACACUAGUAUGCUGGGACAAAAUAUAUCAGAAGAGCUGUCUUUUUUCAUAAUAAAACAGCAAAUGAGCCAUUUGUGUAAGCGUUUUGAACUAUCUAGUAUGAAAUGACACAUUCUGGAAGCCUCACGCCCUUCUCCCAUCUACCAUACAGCGCCCUUGCUUUCUGUCUAGGAAAAUGUUUUGUGUACACCAAAACUUUCCAGAGGAAAGGUAAAAACUGAAAUUUUUGACCAAAAAAAGAUUGUGCUCUGAUGCAUUAAACUAGUUCAGCCAGCAACAGAACAACAAUGCAGGACUACGUGGGGGUUUUUUCAAAAACUGGACCAUGGACUUCAGAGAAAACGUUUCAACAUUUCUGUCCUAAAUCAAUCUACAGCAACCUUGGUUUCUCAGCACAAAGGUCAUGACUGCACUGAAACACUCUGGCUAUGUAAUUCACUACUGUUAAAAACACAUUACAUUGUUACCUCUGCUGCUGCUCCUUGCAUGUUGAAACUUCACAAUAGUUAUCAAAUGCACAGAAGAACAUGACGUUUGACAACAAUUACAUUUUUCAUUUGGUUUUGGUCAGCAAUGCAACUAUAAUUUUCCUCACAGCCACCAUCUGUUUCAGCUGUUAAGGACAACAUGAUAAAUACUCAUUUUUUUUGUUAGAGAUAUUAUGGAAAAUAGGUGACAAUUGUGUUAAUUUUUACCACCACCUAGUGUUUUCUGGUACAUUAAUGGUACAUUAAUAAAAAUGACACCAUGAAAUAUUAAUAUUUUUAGAAUAGGCUGUCUGAACAUUUCAUACCAUAACACUCCUAGUAGUGACAGCUAUAAUGUUGUAUACUUCUUUUUCCUCAGAGUCAAAUGGCGGUAAGUGGACAGAGCACCUGCAGGGCAAGAAAAAAAAAAAAGUUGAGCAGGCUGUGGAAACCUUUACCGUAUGAGAGAUUUUUCAUAUCAGACUGCUCGUCAGAUGCUCCAAACCGGUUUUGAAGCAGGUGAAAACCUGGCCAGGAGACAUCUCUGCUCUUCGGGACUGUUUUGAGCACACUCACUGGCACAUGUUCAGGGAGGCUGCAACCGACAGCGACUCCACCAACUUGGAGGAAUACACAGCAUCAGUGACCAGCUACAUCAGCAAGUGCAUUGAUGACAUCACUAUCUCCAAGACCAUCACCACAUGUUCCAAUCAGAAACCGUGGAUCACUGCGGAGGUGCGUGCAUUGCUGAGGACCCAAGACUACACCUUCAGGGGAGGUGACAAGGCGGCCCUAAGAACAGCGAGAGCCAAACUGUCCUGGGCCAUCAGAGAGGCAAAGCGCGCACACUCCCAGAAAAUCCACAGUCACUACAUGGACAGUGGUGACACACAGAGCAUGUGGCAGUGCAUUCAAGCCAGCAGCAACUACAGGACAACUACUGUGAAAGUGAUGCCUCCCAUCCAGAUGCACUGAACAAAUUCUAUGCUCAGUUUGAGGUGUAAAAUGAUGUGACUGCGACUAACAACACCCCUCCUACCAAUGACCAGAUGCUGUGGCUAAUUUGAGGAAAACUCUAUGCAGAGUCAACCCACAGAAGGAUGCUGGACCAGAAAACAUUCCUGGCAGAUCGCUCAGAGGAUGUGCAGAUCAGCUGGCGAAUGUUCUCACUAACAUCUUCAACAUCGCCCUGAGCAGCACCAUCGUUCCAACGUGCUUCAAGGCCACCACCAUUGUCUCUGUGCUGAAGAGGUCUUCAGUGUCCUGCCUCAACUAAUACCUUCCUGUUGCACUCACACCCAUCAUCAUGAAGUACUUCAAGAGGCUCAUCAUGAAGCACAUCAAGACCCUGCUGCCCCCCUAAUUGGACCCCCUGCAAUUCACAUAUUGUCCCAAACCGGUCAAAUGAUGAUGUCAUCGCUACCACCCUACAUCUGGCCCUCACCUACCUGGACAAAAAGGACACCUAUGUCCGAAUGUUGUUCACAGACUUCAGUUCAGCAGUCACACAAUCAUUCCACAGCACCUGACUGGAAAGCUGAACCUGCUGGGCUUGAAGAUCUCCAUUUGCAACUGGAUUCUGGACUUCCUGACUGGGAGACCUCAGUCAGUCCUGAUUGGGAACAGCAUCUCCAGCACCACCACACUGAGCAUGGGGGCCCCCCAGGGCUGUGCACUCAGUUCACUCUGCUGAUUCACAACUGUGCAGCAACGCACAGCUCCAACCACAUCAUCAAGUUUGGUGGGUCUCAAAGGCAAAAACGACGAGUCAGCAUACAGAGAGGAGGUGCAGCAACAAUAACCUGUCUCUGAAUGUGGACAAAAUAAAAGAGAUGGUUAUUAACUUCAGGAGAGCACGGAGUGACCACUCUCUGCUGAACAUCGAUGGCUCCUCCGUAGAGAUCGUCAAGAGCACCAAAUUCCUUUGUGUUCAACUGGAGGAGAACCUCAACUGGACCCUGAACACCAGCUCCAUAACCAAGAAAGCCCAGCAGCGUUACUUUCUGAGAAGGCUGAAAAAAGCCUAUCUCCCACCCCUCAUCCUCACCACAUUCUACAGAGGAACCAUUGAAAGCAUCCUGAGCAGCUGCAUCGCUGCCUGGUUCGGAAAUUGCACCAUAUUGGAUCACAAGACCCUGCGACGGAUAGUGAGGACAGCUGAGAAGAUCAUUGGGGUCUCUCUUCCCUCCAUCAUAGACAUUUACACAACAUGCUGCAUUCACAACACUACCAGCAUUGUGGAUAUCCCCCCACACCCCUCACACAAACUCUUCACCCUCCUGCAGUGUGGUACUGAAGCAUUCGAGCCCUCACAGCCAGACUGUGUAACAGCUUCUUCCCCCAAACCAUCAGAAUCCUCAAUGCUCAGAGACUGGACUGACACACACACACACACACACACACACACACACACACACACACACACACACACACACACACACACACACAUUCACAUGUGCGCACACACACAUUCAUGCUGAACUGAACGCCAUCCCACUCCCAAUUUUUGCACAUUUCUGUACUGAAUACCUGUACUUUUGCUGCUACUGUACUUAUAAUAAUAUUAUGUUUAAUUUCCUGUCACUAUUAUACACUUUACCUGGCUGCUACUACAAUAACUGCUAAGUCCACAUAUGAUAUAAGCUAAUCUGCUGAAUAGUAUGUCAUAGUAUGUUUAUAUUUACAGCAUUUGUUUUUUAUUAUAUUGUUAUUCUUUUUGCACUACCUGUUAUAUCUGACAUUUUCACACUAGAACUGUGUACUGAUCAGUGCUACACUGUCACUUACUGUGCCUAUUGUCCUGCUUUAGUAGUUACUGUACUGUCUUAUGUUGUUUGCACAUGUUUGCAUGUGCACUUUUUGUGGAACGUGUAGGUCUUAUUUAGUUCUGUGUCGUCCAAUGUGGUUAGUGUGUUGUUUUAUGUAGCACCAUGGUCCUGGAGGAACAUUAUUUCAUUUCACUGUGUACUAUACCAGCUGUAUAUGAUUGAAAUGACAAUAAACGCCACUUGACUUGAUCAUGUUUUGUAGGAAUAUGUUGUUUCCUCCUUUUUAUAUUUUCAAUUUGCAGUCUGCUUUGUUUUGAUUGGCAUCAUUAAUCAUGAAAUAUGCCUUUAGGGUGACAGCAUACAUUUGUCCUACAUCAAGUCACAUCACCUAGUAUUGCAUGUUGAUAUCGGAGCGUUUGAGUAGGUAAUGAGUAGGUAAUGAAUAUGAGUGCAAGUAAAUGAGCACUGCACAUUAGUCAAGUCCAUAAGUAUUUGGUCAGUGACACAAUUUUUGUAGUUUUGCCUCUGUACACUACCACAAUGGAUUUGAAAUUAAGCAAUCAAGAUGUGAUUGAAGUGCAGACUUUCGCUGUCCAAAUACUUAUGGACCUGACUGCAUGUAACCUGAACAAAACUUGUUAGUAACCAACUACAUUUGCUGACUUUGAUUUGUGCUCUGUUCUAC